CUACGGGGCGCUCCAGUGGGGAAUAUUGCACAAUGGAGGAAACUCUGAUGCAGCAACGCCGCGUGGAGGAUGACACUUUUCGGAGCGUAAACUCCUUUUAUAUAGGAAGAAGAUGACGGUACUAUAUGAAUAAGCGCCGGCUAACCCCGUGCCAGCAGCCGCGGUAAUACGGAGGGCGCAAGCGUUACUCGGAAUCACUGGGCGUAAAGAGCGUGUAGGCGGAUUAAAAAGUCAGAAGUGAAAUCCUAUAGCUUAACUAUAGAACUGCUUCUGAAACUCUUAAUCUAGAAUAUGGGAGAGGGAGAUGGAAUUUCUGGUGUAGGGGUAACAUCCGUAGAGAUCAGAAGGAAUACCGAUUGCGUAGGCGAUCUACUAGAACAUUAUUGACGCUGAGACGCGAAAGCGUGGGGAGCAAACAGGAUUAGAUACCCCCGUAGUC
Molecule: ribosomal RNA, 439 nt
Filed under: uncultured bacterium
Lineage: Bacteria
Description: partial 16S ribosomal RNA
Rfam family: Bacterial small subunit ribosomal RNA
Source: RNAcentral